ACGGUAACAGGUCUUCGGACGCUGACGAGUGGCGAACGGGUGAGUAAUACAUCGGAACGUGCCCAGUCGUGGGGGAUAACUACUCGAAAGAGUAGCUAAUACCGCAUACGAUCUGAGGAUGAAAGCGGGGGACCUUCGGGCCUCGCGCGAUUGGAGCGGCCGAUGGCAGAUUAGGUAGUUGGUGGGAUAAAAGCUUACCAAGCCGACGAUCUGUAGCUGGUCUGAGAGGACGACCAGCCACACUGGGACUGAGACACGGCCCAGACUCCUACGGGAGGCAGCAGUGGGGAAUUUUGGACAAUGGGCGAAAGCCUGAUCCAGCAAUGCCGCGUGCAGGAUGAAGGCCUUCGGGUUGUAAACUGCUUUUGUACGGAACGAAAAAGCUCCUUCUAAUACAGGGGGCCCAUGACGGUACCGUAAGAAUAAGCACCGGCUAACUACGUGCCAGCAGCCGCGGUAAUACGUAGGGUGCGAGCGUUAAUCGGAAUUACUGGGCGUAAAGCGUGCGCAGGCGGUUAUGUAAGACAGAUGUGAAAUCCCCGGGCUCAACCUGGGAACUGCAUUUGUGACUGCAUGGCUAGAGUACGGUAGAGGGGGAUGGAAUUCCGCGUGUAGCAGUGAAAUGCGUAGAUAUGCGGAGGAACACCGAUGGCGAAGGCAAUCCCC
RNAcentral lists this ribosomal RNA (666 nucleotides) under uncultured Delftia sp. RNAcentral describes it as "bacterial SSU rRNA". It matches the Rfam family "Bacterial small subunit ribosomal RNA", at positions 66 to 729 of the family's 1533-position model. The record is from RNAcentral. Lineage: Bacteria; Pseudomonadati; Pseudomonadota; Betaproteobacteria; Burkholderiales; Comamonadaceae.